UAUGUGAUCGUCUCUCGCAUAUCAAUAAGCGGAGGAAAAGAAACUAACAAGGAUUCCCCUAGUAACGGCGAGUGAAGCGGGAAGAGCUCAAAUUUGAAAUCUUAAAGGGUUUCCCUUUACGAAUUGUAGUUUAAAGAAGUGUUUUCUGUUGAGGUUUUGGUAAAAGUUCUUCGGAAUAGGACAUCAUAGAGGGUGAGAAUCCCGUAUUUGACCUUUACUUUCAACUUUGUGAUACACUUUCAAAGAGUCGGAUUGUUUGGGAAUGCAGUCCAAAAUGGGUGGUAAAUUUCAUCUAAAGCUAAAUAUUGGCGAGAGAUCGAUAGCGAACAAGUACCGUGAGGGAAAGAUGAAAAGAACUUUGAAAAGAGAGUUAAACAGUACGUGAAAUUGUCAAAAGGGAAGCGUUUGACACCAGUGUUGUUUUUCUGAAAAUCAAUUAGAGAACUGUUUAUGCUAAGUUGUUUAGACUUUAUCAGCUAACUGUUUAGUUUUGAGCUUUUCUUUAAUGCACUUUUCAGUUAACAAGUCAACAUCAAUUUCUUUUGCUGUAAAAAAGCUUGAGGAAGGUGGCUUGAGAUUCGUCUUAAGUGUUUAUAGCCUCUUGCCUAUGCAGUCGGAGAGAUUGAGGUCUGCAGCGUAGAUCCUUCGGGGCUAAAUGCAUUUGUGCUAAGUUAUAGCAUUUUAUAGACAACUUGUUGACUAUGAUUUGUCUUGUAGCUUACUCGCUUAUGUUAUUUUACCUACGCUUAGGAUGUUGAUCUACAGAGCGAGAGU
RNAcentral lists this ribosomal RNA (774 nucleotides) under uncultured Neocallimastigales. RNAcentral's name for it is "partial large subunit ribosomal RNA". It matches the Rfam family "Eukaryotic large subunit ribosomal RNA", at positions 24 to 631 of the family's 3401-position model. The record is from RNAcentral. Lineage: Eukaryota; Fungi; Neocallimastigomycota; Neocallimastigomycetes; Neocallimastigales.